CAGUAGCCGCGGUAAUACGGAGGGGGCUAGCGUUGUUCGGAAUUACUAGGCGUAAAGCGCACGUAGGCGGCUUGGUAAGUUAGAGGUGAAAGCCUGGAGCUCAACUCCAGAAUUGCCUUUAAGACUGCAUCGCUUGAAUCCAGGAGAGGUGAGUGGAACUCCGAGUGUAGAGGUGAAAUUCGUAGAUAUUCGGAAGAACACCAGUGGCGAAGGCGGCUCACUGGACUGGUAUUGACGCUGAGGUGCGAAAGCGUGGGGAGCAAACAGGAUUAGAUACCCCAGUAGUCCCUGUCUCUUAUAA
RNAcentral lists this ribosomal RNA (301 nucleotides) under uncultured bacterium. RNAcentral's name for it is "partial 16S ribosomal RNA". It matches the Rfam family "Bacterial small subunit ribosomal RNA", at positions 509 to 809 of the family's 1533-position model. The record is from RNAcentral.